RNAcentral lists this ribosomal RNA (460 nucleotides) under uncultured bacterium. RNAcentral describes it as "partial 16S ribosomal RNA". It matches the Rfam family "Bacterial small subunit ribosomal RNA", at positions 338 to 795 of the family's 1533-position model. The record is from RNAcentral.
CCUACGGGGGGCAGCAGUGAGGAAUAUUGGUCAAUGGACGAGAGUCUGAACCAGCCAAGUAGCGUGAAGGAUGACUGCCCUAUGGGUUGUAAACUUCUUUUAUAUGGGAAUAAAACGUUCCACGUGUGGGAUUUUGUAUGUACCAUAUGAAUAAGGAUCGGCUAACCCCGUGCCAGCAGCCGCGGUAAUACGGAGGAUCCGAGCGUUAUCCGGAUUUAUUGGGUUUAAAGGGAGCGUAGGUGGAUUGUUAAGUCAGUUGUGAAAGUUUGCGGCUCAACCGUAAAAUUGCAGUUGAAACUGGCAGUCUUGAGUACAGUAGAGGUGGGCGGAAUUCGUGGUGUAGCGGUGAAAUGCUUAGAUAUCACGAAGAACUCCGAUUGCGAAGGCAGUUCACUGGACUGCAACUGACACUGAGGCUCGAAAGUGUGGGUAUCAAACAGGAUUAGAUACCCCUGUAGUC